Molecule: transfer RNA, 77 nt
Filed under: Nocardioides sp.
Lineage: Bacteria; Bacillati; Actinomycetota; Actinomycetes; Propionibacteriales; Nocardioidaceae
Also listed under: 10 other names
Description: tRNA-Met
Rfam family: tRNA
About the family: Transfer RNA (tRNA) molecules are approximately 80 nucleotides in length.
Source: RNAcentral
CGCGGGGUGGAGCAGCUCGGUAGCUCGCUGGGCUCAUAACCCAGAGGUCGCAGGUUCAAAUCCUGCCCCCGCUACGA